GACGAACGCUGGCGGCGUGCUUAACACAUGCAAGUCGAACGAUGAAGCCCUUCGGGGUGGAUUAGUGGCGAACGGGUGAGUAACACGUGAGCAACCUGCCCUUCACUUCGGGAUAAGCCUUGGAAACGGGGUCUAAUACCGGAUAUGAGCCUGUGCCGCAUGGUGUGGGUUGGAAAGUUUUUCGGUGAGGGAUGGGCUCGCGGCCUAUCAGCUUGUUGGUGGGGUAAUGGCCUACCAAGGCGUCGACGGGUAGCCGGCCUGAGAGGGCGACCGGCCACACUGGGACUGAGACACGGCCCAGACUCCUACGGGAGGCAGCAGUGGGGAAUAUUGCACAAUGGGCGAAAGCCUGAUGCAGCGACGCCGCGUGGAGGAUGACGGCCUUCGGGUUGUAAACUCCUUUCAGCAGGGAAGAAGCGCAAGUGACGGUACCUGCAGAAGAAGCACCGGCUAACUACGUG
Molecule: ribosomal RNA, 461 nt
Filed under: uncultured bacterium
Lineage: Bacteria
Description: bacterial SSU rRNA
Rfam family: Bacterial small subunit ribosomal RNA
Source: RNAcentral